This 585-nucleotide ribosomal RNA is filed under the name Lysinibacillus sp. N40. RNAcentral describes it as "bacterial SSU rRNA". It matches the Rfam family "Bacterial small subunit ribosomal RNA", at positions 54 to 621 of the family's 1533-position model. The record is from RNAcentral. Lineage: Bacteria; Bacillati; Bacillota; Bacilli; Caryophanales; Bacillaceae.
CUGGCAGUUCGAGCGACUCAUCAGGAGCUUGCUCCUACGACUUUAGCGGCGGAGGGAUGAUUCACAUGUGUGCGACCUACCUCAUGGUUUGUUAUGACUCCAGCAAACCGGGCCUUAUACCGAAAAAUCUGUUUCACCUCGAGGAGACCCACUGAGAUACGGUUUCUGCUGUCGCUAUAGGAUGGCCCCGCGACGAACUAUCUAUUUGGUGAGGUGACGACUCACCACGGCGACAAUGCGACACCGACCUGACACGGUGAUCAGGCACCCUGGGACUGACACGCAGCCCGGACUCCUACCGGAGGCAGCCAUGCGGAAUCUUCCACAAUGGGCGAAAGCCUGAUGGACUCUCUCCCCGUGAAUGAAGAAGGAUUUCGGCUCAUAAAACUCUCUUGCAAGGUACGAGCCAGUACCCUAGUAACUGCCUGUGCCUUGACCGUUCCUUAUUAUAAAGGCACGGCUAACUACCUGCCACCAACCGCUGUAAUACGUAUGUGGCCAGCGUUCUCCGGAAUUAAUGUGCCUUUAACGCGCGCAGGUGGGUUCUUAAGUCAGAUGUGUAAACCUGCGGCUCAACCGUGGAAG